UACAGAGGGGGCAAGCGUUGUUCGGAAUUACUGGGCGUAAAGGGCGCGUAGGUGGCCUUCUAAGUUGAACGUGAAAUCCCUGGGCUCAACCCAGGAACUGCGUCCAAGACUGGGAGGCUUGAAUCCGGGAGAGGGAUGCGGAAUUCCAGGUGUAGCGGUGAAAUGCGUAGAUAUCUGGAGGAACACCGGUGGCGAAGGCGGCAUCCUGGACCAUGACUGACGCUGAGGAGCGAAAGCCAGGGGAGCAAACGGG
This 253-nucleotide ribosomal RNA is filed under the name uncultured bacterium. RNAcentral describes it as "partial 16S ribosomal RNA". It matches the Rfam family "Bacterial small subunit ribosomal RNA", at positions 524 to 776 of the family's 1533-position model. The record is from RNAcentral.